Molecule: ribosomal RNA, 301 nt
Filed under: uncultured bacterium
Lineage: Bacteria
Description: partial 16S ribosomal RNA
Rfam family: Bacterial small subunit ribosomal RNA
Source: RNAcentral
CAGCAGCCGCGGUAAUACGAAGGGUGCAAGCGUUAAUCGGAAUUACUGGGCGUAAAGCGUGCGCAGGCGGUUAUAUAAGACAGAUGUGAAAUCCCCGGGCUCAACCUGGGAACUGCAUUUGUGACUGUAUAGCUAGAGUACGGCAGAGGGGGAUGGAAUUCCGCGUGUAGCAGUGAAAUGCGUAGAUAUGCGGAGGAACACCGAUGGCGAAGGCAAUCCCCUGGGCCUGUACUGACGCUCAUGCACGAAAGCGUGGGGAGCAAACAGGAUUAGAUACCCCAGUAGUCCCUGUCUCUUAUAC